UACAGAGGGGGCAAGUGUUGUUCGGAAUUACUGGGCGUAAAGGGCGCGUAGGCGGCCUGUUAAGUCGAACGUGAAAUCCCCGGGCUCAACCCGGGAACUGCGUCCGAUACUGGCAGGCUUGAAUCCGGGAGAGGGUCGCGGAAUUCCCGGUGUAGAGGUGAAAUUCGUAGAUAUCGGGAGGAACACCGGUGGCGAAGGCGGCGACCUGGGUCGAUACUGACGCUGAUGCGCGAAAGCGUGGGGAGCAAACAGG
This 253-nucleotide ribosomal RNA is filed under the name uncultured bacterium. Its description in RNAcentral is "partial 16S ribosomal RNA". It matches the Rfam family "Bacterial small subunit ribosomal RNA", at positions 524 to 776 of the family's 1533-position model. The record is from RNAcentral.